UACGUAGGGGGCGAGCGUUGUCCGGAGUACUGGGCGUAAAGCGCACGCAGGCGGUCUGCUAAGUUUGGAGUGACAGUUGGUGGCUUAACUGCCAAAGUGCUUCGAAAACUGACAGACUUGAGGGCUUCAGAGGGACACGGAAUUCCGGGUGGAGUGGUGAAAUGCGUAGAGAUCCGGAAGAACACCGGUGGCGAAGGCGGCCUGCUGGGCAGUUGCUGACACUGAGGCGCGACAGCGUGGGGAGCAAACAGG
Molecule: ribosomal RNA, 252 nt
Filed under: uncultured bacterium
Lineage: Bacteria
Description: partial 16S ribosomal RNA
Rfam family: Bacterial small subunit ribosomal RNA
Source: RNAcentral